AGAGAGAGACAUGCGCGCAUAUCAAUAAGCGGAGGAAAAGAAACUAACAAGGAUUCCCUUAGUAACGGCGAGUGAAGCGGGAAGAGCUCAAAUUUGAAAUCUUCAAGGUUUUACCUUGACGAAUUGUAGUUUAAAGAAGUGUUUUCUGCUGAAGUUUUGGUAAAAGUUCUUUGGAAUAGGACAUCAUAGAGGGUGAGAAUCCCGUAUUUGACCAUUAUUUUCAGCUUUGUGAUACACUUUCAAAGAGUCGGAUUGUUUGGGAAUGCAGUCCAAAAUAGGUGGUAAACUUCAUCUAAAGCUAAAUAUUGGCGAGAGACCGAUAGCGAACAAGUACCGUGAGGGAAAGAUGAAAAGAACUUUGAAAAGAGAGUUAAACAGUACGUGAAAUUGUCAAAAGGGUAGCGUUUGACACCAGUGUUGUUUUCUCGAAAAUCAAUUAAAAAAUGGCUCGGAUUUUGUAGUUGCUGAUGACCUUAUAAGCUCACUGUACAUCUUUUCUUGUCUUUUUUAAUGCACUUUUCGUUUAACAAGUCAACAUCAAUUUCUUUUGUUGUAAAAGGGUCAUUGGAAGGUGGCUUUCUUUUCGGAGAAAGUGUUUAUAGCCUUUGGCCUCUGCAAUCGGAGAGACUGAGGUCUGCAGCGUAGACUCUUCGGGGUUAGAUACAUUUGUGCUAAGUUAUAGCCUUUCAUAGACAACUUGUUGACUAUGAUUAGUCAUUGUAGCUUACUCGCUUAUGCUAUUUUACCUACGCUUAGGGAUGUUGAGUCGUAGAGCACGCAG
This 781-nucleotide ribosomal RNA is filed under the name uncultured Neocallimastigales. Its description in RNAcentral is "partial large subunit ribosomal RNA". It matches the Rfam family "Eukaryotic large subunit ribosomal RNA", at positions 23 to 631 of the family's 3401-position model. The record is from RNAcentral. Lineage: Eukaryota; Fungi; Neocallimastigomycota; Neocallimastigomycetes; Neocallimastigales.